GCCCGGCUAGCUCAGUCGGUACAGCAUGAGAAUCUUAAUCUCAGGUUUGUGGGAUCGAGCCCCACAUUGGGCG
Non-coding RNA from Caranx melampygus (bluefin trevally), 73 nucleotides. Lineage: Eukaryota; Metazoa; Chordata; Actinopteri; Carangiformes; Carangidae. The record is from the annotation of a GenBank genome assembly.